This 5935-nucleotide long non-coding RNA is filed under the name Mytilus galloprovincialis (Mediterranean mussel). The record is from RNAcentral. Lineage: Eukaryota; Metazoa; Mollusca; Bivalvia; Mytilida; Mytilidae.
AUUGUUAGAUAAAUAAGAGAGAACUUAGGUAAAUAGUUUCCUGUAUAUCACUUCCUGUACAAGGGUUUGGAUUGGAGAACAGACUUUGUACAUGUAAUCUGAGUUGUAAGUUUUAUUUUCUACUUUUAAAUGAAUUUAUGUGUAUAUUAGUAUAUUUAUUUACAGUACUUGUUUAAUACUUUGUAUGUUGAAUCUUUUUGGUGUGUAAUAAGAUAGAAAUUUGUAUCCAUUUUAAAAUAUUUUUCUUUUCUUAUUUCGAAAAAAAUGUACCUAGCCUUCAAAAUUGGGCUAAACACCACAACCAGAGGUUGUUUGUCAAUCAAAAAGGUUACAACUAUUUGGUUUUCCCCUUUAUUAGAGGGAAUGUGAAUUUAAAACUUUGUGAAUGUGUUAUUUAGAUUGUAAUUCUCUUUAUGACUAAUAUCUUGAGAGUGAAGGGUUGACUUGUUGUGGCUUACCUAGAAUAUAAUAGUACAUUAAGUAAGUUUUUUUCAGUCUGUACAUCUGUCUUGUAAGUUUGUGUGUGUCAAGUAUGUGGUUAAAGUUAUUGUUUGAAAGUACAUGUAGUUCAAUUACUAGGAAGUUGUGGUCACAAUGUUUACAUGUUCAGUAUAAUGUGUACUUUUUAAAAAUAUAUACAUGUAUAUACAAAACCAGAGUUUUGACCAAGAUUUUGCAGUAAACUAAGCUUGACUGGGUUGAUUCUAGUGCACACCAUUUGAAAUAAUUUUUUGGUGUACAAGGCAUCUCUUAUUUAGCCUCACUCUACUUGACUUUGUUAGGAUCUCCCUCUACUAGAAACCUUAGCACCUUUCAUGGUGUUUAAUGCACACAUUUUUCUCUCCCAAUCUUGAAACAACCAGUUUUGAUUUCAUCUACAUAAUAUUGUUAAGGACUCUCAAGUAGUUAGUGAAUUCUCUUCUUGUUUUUCCCAAAUUUGACUUAAAUACACUUAUAAAUGUAAAACACAGUUAUAUUAUAUUUAUUUUCAAGUAAUUAUAUAAUGAUUAAGCAUGUUAAGGGAAACAAAUCAGUAAAGUCAUGAAAGUGUUCCAACAAAAAUAAUUAGUGAUGCACUUAGCAUUAAAAGGAUUUGAACAAAUAUAAUUGGCGUACCAGUUAAAUACAUGCAUUGUAAAGUAGUCUUAAUAGCAGAGGUCAGGAAUUUAAUCAAUUAUAAGUGCAUUAUGCAUUUAUAGAUCACAUUCCAGGAAGUACUAUCUUGUGUAAAACGAAUGUACAUUCUACAAAAAGUGUAUGUGAUAUUUUUUUUUGUUUCUUUAAUAUCUACCUCCUGAGAAGAAUACAAAUAUUAAAACAAUAACACAGUUUAAGCAUGCUACAUUGUGUGUACAUAUCAAAAUUUGUAUUCAAGAAUUUAUUGAUAAUACAUUAAAUAACAAAAAAAAAAAGGGGCUGGGGACCCAUACUUCUGAUAUUUGUGAAAAGGGGGGAAUGAAAAAUUAAGAUACAUUCCAAUGUAAAAGUUUGAAAACAAAAUCUUUGUCACCCAUUUUGGAAUUUGAUUAACAUGAUUAAAACUGGAGCAGAAGUGCUCUAAUAAAAAAGACGAAUUCAGGAGCAAACAUUUGGAAGUAUUUUUUUUUUAGCUCACUGGGCCCUUCCACCUGAAGUGAGCUUUUCUUUAAGUGGUUUAAUCCACUAUUUUCUACAUUUGAAAAUGCCUGUACGAAGUCAGGAAUUAUGACAGUUCUUGUCCAUUUCGUUUUUGAUGCGUUUUGUUAUUUGAUUUUGCCAUGUGAUUAUGGACUUUCCGAAUUGAUUUUCCUCUAAGUUCAGUAUUUUUGUGAUUUUACUUUUUUCUCAUGUCAUGUUGUUCGUCAUCUGUGAACUUAUACAAAAAUAUUCUCCUCUGAAACCAAACUUGGCAGAAGUCAUGUAAGUCAUCAUUGAGGCAUUAAGUUUUUAAAAAUGUGUCUGAUGACCCCUCCUGCCAACCAAGGAUGCAGACUUGACCAAGAAAAGAACAUAGGGUGGGGUACAAUACAAUAGUCAUGGACUUUUCUAUUUAAUAUAAAAAAAAAAUGUGCAGGUAUGAUUGUCAAUGAGACAACUUUUCACACAAAAAUUUACAGCUAUAUGUGACAAUUGUCACCACAACGGGCUUCACCAAUGUGCAAAGCCCAUACCAUAUAGUCAGCUAUGAAAGGCCAUAAAAUGACAAAUGUAAAACAAUUCUCAACUAUACAUGUAAAACUGAAAUGUGAAUCAAUGAUUUGUAAUUCAGCACAAAAAUCUCUCAAUCCUGUCCAUCAGUUAUUUCAUUCCUUUUGAUUUUUGAUACUGCCUAUAUCUAAUGAACAUGAUUUUUGAUACUGCCUAUAUCUUAUGAACAUGAUGAAGUUAUUUGAAAUUUAAGUACGACAUGUAUUAAAGUAGUCUAGUAGAUUAUACGGAGAAACAUUAAACAUGUACACGCAGAAACUGUGACAAGUGUACAUAAUUGAUGCUCUUAUAAAAACAGAUAGAAAUAAAUAUUGAUUUGUUUUUAACAAAUACAGAGCUAGAUUACUGACAUUUUAGUACAUAAGCCUACAUUUAUAGAAACCUUUUAAUCCUUACUUAUCAAUAACAAUAUAAUAUGAUAUACAAUGGACACUGGACAUCAACAUGAGCUGUUGAUCUAUGUAAUAAAACCUUGUCAUGAACAGAUGUUGUCAUUAUAAAGGCAUAUUAUUUUAUUUUAUAGGACAAAUCCAGCAGUGAAUUGAACUUGAAGAUUAGAAAGGAAUUGUGAUUCGUCCUUGCAUAGAAGGUUUGUACAUGCACAGAUCUAAAUUUUAAUUGAUUAAAAUAAAUUUUGUUGGAAUACCAGCUGCAUUAAUUAUAUUUUGUAAUUGUUUAAAUUCCAAUGAAUAUUUGAUCAAGCCAUUCAAGGUCACCACUUGAAUAAUAUUGUACAUUUUGAAAGUAACGGAGACUAAAAGACCACUUUCGAAUUUGUCCAUCAAUGAAAAAAAACUCUUCAAUUAUGUGCGCCUUUAUGACUUCAUUUACCAGAUAGAGAGGAUCACCUGUAUCCCUGCACUAUUAACGUUUAUCAAGCGUCUAAGUGAUCAUCAUUGUGCAGGAUAAACUGGAAAUAAUAUUUGUCCUGUAGGUACCUUAUCACAAUUCCCUUACGUUAGCAGUGCUGAAUAUCAAUUAUAUGAAUUUAAUUUGCUGAAUAAUUCGUGCAAUAUAGCAUUAUCAUUUUUUCCUCCAAUCACUCAACAAAAGAACAGAAGUGAUGACGCCCCUAAACGCACAAAUGAUGUUCACUAAAACCAAAGUUGUCUAUUAGGGCAAUAAAAUAAUGCCUUUGUUUCUACUACAUGCUGAAAAAAUAAAUGACUCAAGUUGUAGCAAUGAUCGCAUGUUCAUGUACUGUUGAAAGGUGUGAAAAGUAGCUAGUUUUUGAAAAAAAAAAAUGAUAAAAAUUCAAUAGAUUCCUUAUCAGUAGACUUAUACAAUAGUCCUUAUUAUCUUUUACUGAAUUAAUUAUAUAUAUAUAUAAUUUAAUUUUGGAUGUAACGCGUCUUCCGAUUGGCUGACGUUAUUUUGUUAUCAGACCAUAGACAUAAUUUAGUCAUGUGACCGUGACGUCAUCAACGUUUUUUCAAGGUUUGCUAUGGUUUAUAAUGGAAUUUAGAAUUAAAUAUAAGAAAUGACUGUAAUAUUUUUUCUGUCUAUUCGAAAUAACAUAAAAAAUGUGGUGCACUGUUAAAUAACCCGCUACGCGCGUUAUUCAGUGUGCACCACAUUUUUUAUGUUAUUUCUUCAUAGACAGAAAAAAUAUUACAGUCUUUCUUUAAAUAUGUGAAAUAUAAUAUCAGAGUCCAGUUAUGUAAAGAUUGCACAUAGAUAAUUAGCACACAUGAAUUUCAUUCCUCAUUUUAACCAUGAGUUAUAACAGUCAUGACAGUGGAUUUUCUUUGUAUUAUACUCCUCUUGUAUAAUACAGAAUGUACAUGUUUAUGUGACACAUUUUAUUAGGUGUAUAUAUCUAACAUAUCCUAUACUGAUAUUUUGUAUUUCUAUCUCACAGAAAUAAACAAAAUGAAUGUCUAUCGCCAGCCAGCGCAGUGGGAAGACAAACGCACAAAAGAUUUACGGAAUCAAGUUACACUACUGAAUACACAUCUUGGUGUACAAAGGUCAAAGUUGUCAUCAACGAUACCAGAACUCGUGCAAUACUGUGAGAAGCACGCUGUACAGGAUCCUUUCCUAUUUCCUAUUAGAGACAAUCCUUUUAAACCAAUAAGACGACCGUGUUGUAUUAUAUAGAAGAUAACUGGAUCAAAACAUGUGUGAAUGUGAUAAAUAUGUGGUAAUUAUACAAUAUUUAGUACACAGUUACAAGGAGUAGUGGAUUUAGAUAUUAGAAGAUGUGGCAUGACUGCCAAUGAGAAAACUCUCCAUCUAAGUCACAAUUAUUAAAAAGUAAACUUCUAUAGGUCCAACUACAGCCUUGAACAUAGAGGAACCUAAUAUAAGCUCACACCAAACAGCAAGCUAUAAACUUAAAAGAGCCCUAAAAAUUACAUGUUGUGUAAAACAAUGUUUUACAGGAAAACAAACGGUCUAAUCUUUAUAAAAAAAACAAUGAGAAACUCAUGAAUCACAUCAACAAACGACAACCAAUGAACAAGAGGUAGAGAGAGGAACAUGAAUCUGUCUGUUCUGUUUACAGUUUAACAGACAAAGAGAAAUAAAUGCAUUAUCCAACGUUACCAAUAUUCAAUGUUUAUAGCUUUCUUGACCAUGUUUACCAUUCAGUGCUCUCAACCACUUAGAUUAAUGAUAGGAAAAGAUAUUUGAUGUAUCUUACUGGAUCAGUAAGUUUCCAAUGAUAUGCUCAUAUAAAUAGUUUUGUUCUUUUUGACAUUUACCUUUCUAAAGCUACAUGUAUGCCCUUACCAAACCAACUUUACCGUGCGUAUUGUUGUGCGUUUUUUUUUUCUACAUUGGCUAGAGGUAUAGGGGUCUAAGGGUUGAGAUCUCAAAAAACAUGUUUAACCCGGCCGAAUUUAUGCGUCUGUCCCAAGUCAGGAGCUUCUGGCCUUUGUUAGUCUUGUAUGAUUUUUAAUUUUAGUUUCUUGAGUGUAAUUCGGAAUUUAGCAUAACAUCCAUUUUCACUGAACUAGUAUUUAUAUUUGUUUAGGGGCCAGCUGAAGGACGCCUCUGGGUGCGGGAGUUUCUCGCUGCAUUGAAGACCCAUUGGUGGCCUUCUGCUGUUGUCUGCUCUUUGGCUGGAUUGUUGUCUCUUUGACACAUACCCCAUUUCCAUUCUCAAUUUUAUGAAAAUUAGUGUUUAUUUCCUUUCUUGAUGAUUAUUUAAAAAAGUUCUACUUUGCCAAUUCAAAAGACAUUUGUAAUACAUUGCUUUGAAACAUUGCUUUGAAACAGGUAAUUUUAAUUUGCGAUAAAAGAUUUUUUUCUGCUGGCAAGAGUAGAUGUGAUCAUGCCACUUGAUUGCAUGCAUGUUUCUAGAUUCUGUUGAUAAAUUCCAAUGUCUAAUGAAAUACAAUCUUAUUAUUUAUAAUGAGGUAAAUAUUGACAUGCCUAUUUUUUUUUUUUUCAGAUUCAACAAAUGAUAGAAGUAACUGUAAUACAUAUAUUUUCCACGAAGAAGAAAUUCUGUUGUUGUAGCUGUUAAAAUAGUAAAUGGUCAGUGGAGCUGUUCAAGAUGUUUAUUGUCAGUGGCUUAUAUAUGAUGCUAUUAAUUGCCUUCAAAACUCUGUCAAAAUUACUAUAGUGCCAUUGCUAAAUAGAAAACCAAGAAAAUCUUUUGAAUUUUUUUUAAACUAAAAAAAAUAUUAUAAAAAAAAUUAUAUAUAUUCAUUGCUUAAUAAAUCAUGCCAAACUAGAUAUUUGCUUGUGUGCCUUUAAGUGUGGGUGCUAAUAUAGACAUAUUCAAGAUCUUUAUUGUAUU